Gasterosteus aculeatus aculeatus (three-spined stickleback) is the source of this 377-nucleotide long non-coding RNA. NCBI's taxonomy places the organism in Eukaryota, Metazoa, Chordata, Actinopteri, Perciformes, Gasterosteidae. The record is from Ensembl.
UGAAAAGACACCAACCCAAAAGGUUACCAUGAGGGUCAAUGCGACCAUCUCAGACUCCACUGAAAGCUACAAUGUUUGGUGGAGCUUCAAUGGUAAACGGAAGGGUAAUCUAUACAACACGUCUGAUGGAUAUGACCUAGUCUACACUUUCUCCGUUGACAUCAGUUGCCAAGAAAACCCUGUCUCACAAGAGGUUUCUGUCACCUUUGAGAACAUCGUGGGGCAAAAUAAAAGUGCAAAAGUGAUUAUCCCAGUGGUUUAUCUACUUCCUGAUGGGACUUGGGGCUACCGAGGAGGGAGCCGUCAAUAUAUUUUCCGGACUUAAGAACAGAUCUACAGUCGAUUCGGAUUCCCCUGACUCAAUCGCCGACAUUUAU